AGUCCUUAGUUGAGAUGCCUGGCACUUCUUACUUAUUUUAGAAAACAAAAUCAGUGUUUUCCUUGUACUUUAUUUAGCAAAGCAGAACAACACAUGCGUGCAAACACACACAGAAACACACACAACAGCAAGGUAAGAAGUAGGAUUGUCAUUGUGGUUUUAAAGAAUGGUGAAACUAGACCUCACUUGAGCAAAAGUACAAGGAUUGGGGGAAAAAAAACUACCCAGGAAGAUUUAUGGGUUCACCCAUUAGGCAGGGAACAGCAGUAACCAAUGUCCUAAGGUGGGAGUACCCCAAGUAUAUCAAAGGAAGAGAGAUAGCUAGAAUGGAUAAGGUGGUUCAAACAAUAGAAAUUGAAUGAGUAGGGCAAGAGUGCAGGUAAUGAAGCUUGUUUUCCUUGGUCAGAAGCAGAAGAGGUAAGCAAGCCUUUCAAUUCAAUGAUCAACAUGUGUUGUGAGAGCACAGUGAAAGGACUGAUGUAGCAAAUCCAUAACCAGUUAGUUGACCACUGAGAUAAUCCGGGCAAGGCCAAUCUUAGAUGGGGUAACAGCAACAGGGAUGUGACACUGUAGAUAAACUACAAUUAGAUGCACAUUUAGAGCCUUAAGGGCCUUUCUGCUUAUGAACUAGAAGCAUUGCUGUCAGUGGGCUUGCUAUGACCCCUAGGGUGGCACUGCUGCUUGGUUGUGGAACCUCUAGGAACUAAAGUCUAAAGGGAGUUUCUCCAGUCACUGGGAGUGUGGCCCAAGGGAAAUGGUGGGGUCUUUAUUCUUCUGCCUCCUGGCUGAUGAGCUGACGGUUUGGCUUUACACUGGACCCCAGCUAUGUCUGCUGCCCAUUACAGACCAAAGCAAUGAGGACAACUGAUCACAUAAUGAAGUCUUCAAAAUGGAAUUAAAGUAAACUUUCUGACUUUGUAGAUCAACCUGAGUAUUUCAUUGUAGUCGUAGAAGGUUAAUUGAUUGAAAAAAACAGCAGCAAAACUGAGUUUGGCUUUGACUAUAAAAAUCAGGAGAUACCUGUUAAGAGACAUUCCAGUGAAAUGCUACACAGUAAGGUGAACAAAAUCUUAUUAUUAGAGGAAAAAAAAAUCACCAAAAAAUCACCAAAGUCAGCAUGAAAAGAGGCAAGGAGACCAAACUCCAGCUUUGAGGCUUAUGCUUAUUGAUAGUUAAAAGUUCAAGAGAUCAUUAAAAGUGAAAGAAAUCAGACAAGUAUCUUAGAAGACAAGUGAAGAC
Molecule: long non-coding RNA, 1239 nt
Filed under: Rattus norvegicus (Norway rat)
Lineage: Eukaryota; Metazoa; Chordata; Mammalia; Rodentia; Muridae
Description: long non-coding RNA NONRATT023130
Source: RNAcentral